GUGUCUGCACAGAAACAGAUGGUACCAACCAAUGAAGAUUAUCCAAGAAGAUUUAUUUAUAAGUUAGCUGCAAAUCCUGAUUUGAACUGUUUGAGGGAAAGAAGAAGGAAAGGCACUUGGCAAUUGUGCCUGGCGAACACGGAAUUUUGUGUCAGGCUGCUCUCUGCAUCUGUUUCCCGAGUCGUGUCUGGGAUACUGAUCUGGUCGAUGAAGACUGACCCCAGAGUUGUCCGAAGAGCUCUCAGUGCUUCUGACCCUCAGGAAUCCCUGUUUCCCUGAGCUAUUUGCCGGGUCUCUCUUAGGCUUUGCUCUACGAAGGGUGAGACCUCACUCCCAGGCAGGUGACCUGGCUUCCUGCUGUGUGGGCUGGGAGAGGAGGUAAACAUUCUC
RNAcentral lists this long non-coding RNA (390 nucleotides) under Mustela putorius furo (domestic ferret). Its description in RNAcentral is "lncRNA (ENSMPUG00000029408.1)". The record is from RNAcentral. Lineage: Eukaryota; Metazoa; Chordata; Mammalia; Carnivora; Mustelidae.